Dioscorea cayenensis subsp. rotundata (Guinea yam) is the source of this 1608-nucleotide long non-coding RNA. RefSeq lists it as uncharacterized. The transcript has 8 exons. The record is from RefSeq and is a predicted model, not a curated record. NCBI's taxonomy places the organism in Eukaryota, Viridiplantae, Streptophyta, Magnoliopsida, Dioscoreales, Dioscoreaceae.
CGGUGAUUGUGAGAUGGGGGAUUGAUGGUUCGUGUUUGGGGAGGGACCGGGCCGGAUGAUACUUUGGAAGAAGAUGCAAGGCUAUGCAUGACGGUGAAGGCAGGUAGAACAAUCGACGGCUGCAGAGGCGGCAUAUGUUGCAGAGGCCUCGUGCUAGACCAGUAGCUUCUCUGGCAGCGGUGAUUUGAAGCAGGAUUUUUGCAGGUUUUUCUUAAAGGCUUUUACACUUUGAGCACAAUGCAAUUGGUGGUUAUGAUUUAGCAUUACAGAUUUAAAUUGGAGACUUGUUUCCUGAUAUAGUAUCACAGCAGGAAAUUGGACUUCAACAGCGGGAAAUCUAGGUGCUCUCCAGAUGCUUGUUUGGAAUCUUUGAACUUUCAUUGGCAAUUGCACUUUAACAGCAAGUAGUCAGAAACCUUGUGUAAUAAAUGUUUGUGGCGGAAUUGUUGCUGAACCAGCUGCUAAUUUGGACUUUAAUUGAGACCCAGAUAGUAGAAAGGUUGAUGCCGAGUCAGUGAAACUCUCAGCUGCAGUAUUGUCAAGCGACCAGGCGAAUGUCAAUAGCAGUGGGACCCAAUAGCUUCCCCUCAAGGAAGAAGAAGAUUAAAAAGGUCUCUGAAACUCUUUUCAAAUGGCAACUAAGAAAUGUGUUGCCUCUCAUUGGCUUCCAUGAGCCCCUCCUGGUUUUCUGGUGUAAACAAAUAAGUAAGCUCCUGAUGUUGCUGAAGGCCACCAUACCAAAAUAAGCAACAGAUUGGAGCUACCAUGGAGAUCUAAUCUCUUUAGUGACAUACUUGGAAGCCUAAUUAGAAGUUGGAAGGGGAGAAAUGAGGCUAAUGUCCAGCUUCAAAGAUAAUGGUUUUAAUUCUGUUAUCGUGUUCAUUAUUGAAGUGGUGAAAGGGAAGAGCAGUAGACACAAGAAGAUGAUGAGCUUGCUGUUUUUAUUCAUCAGGGUAAAUGACUCUUGAGAGAAUUCCUGAAACUUUUGAGUCUACGAGUUUGAAAGAUGAUGAGCUUGCUGUUUUUAUUCGUCAGAGUAAAUGACUCUUGAGAGAAUUCCUGAAACUUUUGAGUCUUUACGAGUUUGAAAGAUGAUGAGCGUGCUGUUUUUAUUCGUCAGAGUAAAUGACUCUUGAGAGAAUUCCUGAAACUUUGAGUCUUAAUAAGUUUGAACAUACUUGCUCACAAAUGCUUCUUGUGCCUUGUGUGGGUGUGUGCGCUGUAAGAGUAUCAGAGUUGAAUGGCUGUAGAACAGGAGUGGGGUUGAUGAAGCUGCUGAAAUAUCAGAAUCAAAUGCUGGAGUCAGCAGGGAUGCAGUGGAAGUAGGGAAGGUUCGAAGAGAGUUAGGUUUGUUUGUUGGUAGUUAAUGAUGUGGGUCCAUUAUAUUGACUGUAAAUGCUGAGUAGGAUUAGUGUAAUCCGAAUCAGCAAAUAGAUUGAAUCUUAGCCACAGGAUAUUAAUAACUUUGUAGGAUCCAUGAGAUGAAAUGAUCUCGGUCAUUGGUUUUGUUCCUAAUCUUUGAAUCGGGGCCAUUGGUUGUAAGAUUUAAAUACCAACUGUUCAAUGGAGGGAAACAUAAGUGAAUGUUAAUGUUAAUCUUUCUCCUCA